RNAcentral lists this unclassified non-coding RNA (313 nucleotides) under Melitaea cinxia (Glanville fritillary). Its description in RNAcentral is "misc RNA ENSMCXG00005014065.1". The record is from RNAcentral. Lineage: Eukaryota; Metazoa; Arthropoda; Insecta; Lepidoptera; Nymphalidae.
UACAAAAUACGAACUUGUGGACUAAUUUAGCUAGAUAAAAAUUUGUGUUGUGUGUAAAGCUUCGUUUUUAUGUUUAAUUACGUAAAACAUUUAAGAUGGCUUUUAUUUAAAACUAAUGUAUACGCAUUCGUUUUAUUUUUAAAUGAUUCAUCCAAUAAAGAAAUUGAUAUAAUAUCGUGGUACCGGAUGUAAAUAGCCUGAGUCAUUGUUAAAAAGUACUAAGUAUUGUAAAUUAUUACAAACGAUAGUUAAACAUUGUGAAGGGUCUGCCCGACAUGGCCAACGUUUUGUGUUUAAAUAAGUGGCACAGCAG